This 458-nucleotide ribosomal RNA is filed under the name uncultured bacterium. RNAcentral's name for it is "partial 16S ribosomal RNA". It matches the Rfam family "Bacterial small subunit ribosomal RNA", at positions 338 to 795 of the family's 1533-position model. The record is from RNAcentral.
CCUACGGGCGGCAGCAGUGGGGAAUAUUGCACAAUGGGGGAAACCCUGAUGCAGCGACGCCGCGUGAGUGAAGAAGCGUUUCGGCGCGUAAAGCUCUGUCAGCGGGGAAGAAACACGGUUCGCGAGAGCCGCGGACGGUACCCGACCAAGAAGCCCCGGCUAACUACGUGCCAGCAGCCGCGGUAAUACGUAGGGGGCAAGCGUUAUCCGGAUUUACUGUGUGUAAAGGGAGCGUAGACGGCUGAGCAAGUCUGAAGUGAAAGGCGGGGGCCCAACCCCCGGACUGCUUUGGAAACUGUAUAGCUAGAGUGCAGGAGAGGUAAGUGGAAUUCCUAGUGUAGCGGUGAAAUGCGUAGAUAUUAGGAGGAACACCAGUGGCGAAGGCGGCUUACUGGACUGUAACUGACGUUGAGGCUCGAAAGCGUGGGGAGCAAACAGGAUUAGAUACCCGAGUAGUC